RNAcentral lists this ribosomal RNA (483 nucleotides) under uncultured Stenotrophomonas sp. Its description in RNAcentral is "bacterial SSU rRNA". It matches the Rfam family "Bacterial small subunit ribosomal RNA", at positions 896 to 1382 of the family's 1533-position model. The record is from RNAcentral. Lineage: Bacteria; Pseudomonadati; Pseudomonadota; Gammaproteobacteria; Lysobacterales; Lysobacteraceae.
GAAACUCAAAGGAAUUGACGGGACCCGCACAAGCGGUGGAUGAUGUGGAUUAAUUCGAUGCAACGCGAAAAACCUUACCUACCCUUGACAUGUCCGGAAUCCUGCAGAGAUGCGGGAGUGCCCGAAAGGGAAUCGGAACACAGGUGCUGCAUGGCUGUCGUCAGCUCGUGUCGUGAGAUGUUGGGUUAAGUCCCGCAACGAGCGCAACCCUUAUCAUUAGUUGCUACGCAAGGGCACUCUAAUGAGACUGCCGGUGACAAACCGGAGGAAGGUGGGGAUGACGUCAAGUCCUCAUGGCCCUUAUGGGUAGGGCUUCACACGUCAUACAAUGGUCGGUACAGAGGGUUGCCAAGCCGCGAGGUGGAGCGAAUCCCUUAAAGCCGGUCUCAGUUCGGAUUGGAGUCUGAAACUCGACUCCAUGAAGGCGGAAUUGCUAGUAAUCGCGAAUCAGCAACGUCCGCGGUCGAAUACGUUCCGGGCCUU